RNAcentral lists this unclassified non-coding RNA (113 nucleotides) under Chryseobacterium taichungense. Its description in RNAcentral is "Flavo-1 RNA". The record is from RNAcentral. Lineage: Bacteria; Pseudomonadati; Bacteroidota; Flavobacteriia; Flavobacteriales; Weeksellaceae.
GUUUAGCCCUGAUCGCAGCAUUUGUCUGAGCUCAUUUUUUUGAUUUCGGCGCGGCAGCUUCGCUGCCGCGCCGAAAUCAAAAAAAAUAGCGAGUGCGGAGAGCAGGAAAAUGC